This 465-nucleotide ribosomal RNA is filed under the name uncultured bacterium. RNAcentral's name for it is "partial 16S ribosomal RNA". It matches the Rfam family "Bacterial small subunit ribosomal RNA", at positions 28 to 507 of the family's 1533-position model. The record is from RNAcentral.
GACGAACGCUGGCGGCGUGCUUAACACAUGCAAGUCGAACGGACAGGCCCUGCUUGCAGGGUACUCGAGUGGCGAACGGGUGAGUAACACGUGGGUGAUCUGCCCUGCACUUCGGGUUAAGUCUGGGCAACUGGGUCUAAUUCCGGACAGGAGCCAUUUUUAGUGUGAUGGUUGGAAAGUUUUGUCGGUGUAGGAUGAGCUUGAGGCGUAUCGGCUUGUCGGUGGGGUAAUGGCCUACCAAGGCGGCGACGGGUAGCCGGCCUGCGAGGGUGGCCGGCCACAUAGAGACUGAGGUGCGGCCCAGGCUCCGACGGGAGGCAGCAGUGGGAAAGAUUGCACAAGGAGCGCAAGCCUGAUGCAGCGGCGCCGCGUGUGGGAUGACGGCCUUCGGGGCGUAAACUCCCUUCGCUAGGGACGAAGCUUGUUGUGACGGUACCUAGAUAGAAAGCACCGGCUAACUACGUG